AAAAUAUCACAUUUAGAUUCAUUAUUUAUGGUUCAUCAUCUCUUAACAAAAUUAAAUUUAGACUCUAACAACACAAUUUAGACUAAAAAUUAUUACAACAUAAUACAUUGUUUAUUGUUCACCCAUCAACUUUAUACCUCAAAUAAAAAUAAUAUCUUCUAUAAUCAAUCUUCCGUGAUGAGGAGCCCUAUCAAUCUUUCCAUAGCUGUUAUCACCCCAACUUGUUCCGUGUGAAUUUCUUACUAUCCAAUAUUGUUUUUAACUUUUUCUUCAC
RNAcentral lists this long non-coding RNA (274 nucleotides) under Lathyrus oleraceus (garden pea). RNAcentral describes it as "Pisum sativum (pea) long non-coding RNA (PSAT_LNC038050)". Lineage: Eukaryota; Viridiplantae; Streptophyta; Magnoliopsida; Fabales; Fabaceae. The record is from RNAcentral.